This 497-nucleotide ribosomal RNA is filed under the name uncultured archaeon. Its description in RNAcentral is "bacterial SSU rRNA". It matches the Rfam family "Archaeal small subunit ribosomal RNA", at positions 93 to 593 of the family's 1478-position model. The record is from RNAcentral.
GUAACACGUAGUCAACAUGCCCAGGGGACGUGGAUAACCUCGGGAAACUGAGAUUAAACCGCGAUAGGUCAAGAUUUCUGGAAUGGAUCGUGUCUUAAAUCUACAUGGCCCCUGGAUUGGACUGCGGCCGAUCAGGCUGUUGGUGAGGUAAUGGCCCACCAAACCUAUAACCGGUACGGGCUCUGAGAGGAGAAGCCCGGAGAUGGGCACUGAGACAAGGGCCCAGGCCCUAUGGGGCGCAGCAGGCGCGAAACCUCUGCAAUGGGCGAAAGCCUGACAGGGUUACUCUGAGUGAUUUCCGCUAAGGAGAUCUUUUGGCAGCUCUAAAAAUGGUGCAGAAUAAGGGGUGGGCAAGUCUGGUGUCAGCCGCCGCGGUAAUACCAGCACCCCGAGUGGUCGGGACGAUUAUUGGGCCUAAAGCAUCCGUAGCCGGUCGUGCAAGUCCUCCGUUAAAUCCAGCCGCUCAACGGAUGGGCUGUGGAGGAUACUACAGGACU